This 468-nucleotide ribosomal RNA is filed under the name uncultured bacterium. RNAcentral's name for it is "partial 16S ribosomal RNA". It matches the Rfam family "Bacterial small subunit ribosomal RNA", at positions 28 to 507 of the family's 1533-position model. The record is from RNAcentral.
GACGAACGCUGGCGGCGUGCUUAACACAUGCAAGUCGAACGGAAAGGCCCUGCUUUUGUGGGGUGCUCGAGUGGCGAACGGGUGGGUAACACGUGAGUAACCUGCCCUUGACUUUGGGAUAACUUCAGGAAACUGGGGCUAAUACCGGAUAGGAGCUCCUGCUGCAUGGUGGGGGUUGGAAAGUUUCGGCGGUUGGGGAUGGACUCGCGGCUUAUCAGCUUGUUGGUGGGGUAGUGGCUUACCAAGGCUUUGACGGGUAGCCGGCCUGAGAGGGUGACCGGCCACAUUGGGACUGAGAUACGGCCCAGACUCCUACGGGAGGCAGCAGUGGGGAAUAUUGCACAAUGGGCGGAAGCCUGAUGCAGCAACGCCGCGUGCGGGAUGACGGCCUUCGGGUUGUAAACCGCUUUCGCCUGUGACGAAGCGUGAGUGACGGUAAUGGGUAAAGAAGCACCGGCUAACUAUGUG